CUUUUUGUUUUUCUUUUUUUUGAGAUGAAGUUUUACUCUUGUUGCCCAGGCUGGAGUGCAAUGGCACGAUCUUGGCUCACUGCAACCUCUGCCUCCUGGGUUCAAACAGUUCUCCUGUCUCAGCCUCCUGAGUAACUGGGAUGACUGGCACAUGCCACCACGCCCAGCUAAUUUUUGUAUUUUUAAUAGAGACGAGGUUUCAUCAUGUUGGCCUGGCUGGUCUCAAACUUCUGACCACAGGAGAUCCACCUGCCUCGGCCUCCCAAAGUGCUGGGAUUACAGGCGUGAGCCGCUGCGUCCGGUGCCUUCUACUUUCUGUCUCUAUGAUUCUGCCUACUCUAGGUGCUUCAUCAAAGUGGAAUCAUACAGUGUUUGUCUUUGGUGACUGGCUCUUUUGCAGAAUGUCCCCAAGGUUCAUCCAUGUUGUAGCAGGUGUCCGCCCUUCAUUCCUUGUUAAAGCUGAAUAAUCCUCCAUUACUUGGAUGCACCAUUUUCUUUCUUCAUUCAUUCAUUGAUGGACACGUGGGUUGCUUCCACCUUUUGGCUAUUGUCAAUAAUGCUGCAGCGAUUCCCAGGCUGGCUGAGUAAUUGGUAGUCUACAAAGCUGCUUGGCACAGCGUCCCCAACCUAUAGGGAGUAGUUGUGGGUUCAAAGAAAACCCACAAGACUUUAGAGCCAAAAUACAUCUGGUUUCCAAUGUUUGACUGGCCAGCUGCAACUUUAGGCAAAUUUAAUCCUUCUGAGCCUCACGCUGCUCGUCACCAAAAUGGGAAUUACAGUAGACAGCACUGGUCUCUGUCCCAGCAUCCACACUACCUCCUACAUCCUAAGCGAAUUCUGAUUUCUUUUUUCAACUUUCUUCCACGCCCAGGUGAUCUCAAGGGGCUGAGACAUUCAUAGUUCCAGGGAUGGGGCAAGUCCCGCCCCCUUACCAAUGAUUGGUUCAGACACUCAGGCUUCAGCUAAUCGGUUUCUAGCAGUGCCUUAGCAACUGUUGCUAGUGUUAGGCCCUUGAUCUGAGUGGCCCAAUCAGGUAGAGGAUGGGCUUUUAUUCCAAGUUGGAGAAAUGACGCUCCUCGGAGCUAGGAAAUGAACAAGAGUUUCUGCAGCUGCUGAUGCUGCCGCCAUCCCGCAACAACGAGGGAAGGAGCAUGAGAACAAAGCCCAGGCACAGAAGAAAGGCAGCCGUAAAAGUGUCAGAAAAACGGAGCCGGAGCCUGAUUAUCCUCCUCAUCUUGGUACACAUUCACACUCACACACUCCCUAUGUCUGCGGACUGAGAGUCAGAAUAUUCAAGCAAAACAGAUCUCCUUAAAUGGCAGUGACCUUCCCUGAAAUUUAACAGGCCCCAAAGAACUGAAUUUGCCAGUCUAAGGUCAACCAGGAAGGCUGUGUGCCUUCAAGCCCACCACUGAAAGACGCCGACCAAUUCACCUGUCUCCUGUAUGAUUCUGGGUUCACACACAUGGGUGCACAGACUCCCCCGAACACACACACACACACACACACACACACGCACCUGCACGCAUGCACACACACAAUUAGGUUCAGAAAUUAAACCUCAAAGUAAUAGUAGGCCUCAAUUAUCCUACAUAGCUGUGAAACAGAUAGCCUGUUAGCUAGUCACUGGAGUACUGCUUGAAAUAGAGAUUUAUUACAGAAAAAGCAGCACAUACAAAAGUUUCUAUGAUCAGUAUUACGGCUGAUUGUGAAAUAAGACAUCAUUGGAAGUGCACCAAAAAUGAAUAAUGCAGGGACUGAACAGAGAAGCUGAGUGAAGACAAGCCAGAUAAAGAAGGAACACAUAUUUUUUCAGCCCACAGCUUCACCCAUUUUCAGCGAAGCAAGGAUUUCCCUUAGGGUGAAGGGAGAAUCCUAGGUCUUUCUAUUCCAUUUCCGGGCAUGACCAGACACCAAAAUCAUGACAGAGUAAGCUUGAAAAGAAAGACUUCAUGAAGACUGCUGGUCAAGACACAACCGGGGAACAGAAACAUCUCAGCAUGUACAGGAGAAGGAAUUUAAUCCAGGAAGGAGAUUGUGGCUGGUGGAGGGUCAGAACAGCCACUGCAGUGUCAAACCACACACAGUGAAUUAUUCAUUCAGAUCUCAUGACAAGGAAACUUGGUGUCUUUGUCUACCUGGGCUGCUGUAACAAAAUAUCAUCCACUGGGCAGCCCAUGCACAACAGAGAUUUAUCUCUGACGGUUCUGGAGGCUGGGGUGUCCAAGAUCAAGGCCCUGGCCACUUCAGUGUCUGGUGAAGGUCACUUCCUGAUUCAUAGAUGGCACCUUCUCGAGAGUCCAUAUAUGCUGGAAGGGGCAAGGGGCAUCUCUGGGGCAUUUUUUAUUACUUUAUUUUUAUUUAUUUAAUUUUUUGAGAUGGAGUUUCAGUCUUAUUGCCCUGGUUGGAGUGCAAUGGCAUGGUCUCCACUCACUGCAAUCUCUGCCUCCUGGGUUCAAGCGAUUUUCCUGCCUCCGCCUCCCAAGUAGCUGGGAUUACAGGCGCCCGCCACCAUGCCCAGCUCAUUUCUGGAUUUUUAGUAGAGACGGGGUUUAAUCAUGUUGGUCAGACUGGUCUAAAACUCCUGACCUCAGGUGAUCCGCCCACAUUGGCUUCCCAAAGUGCUGGGAUUACAGGUGUGAGCCACCGUGCCCGGGCUUGGGGCUCUUUCAUAAGGGCACUAUUCCCACGCAUGAGGGUUCUACCUCACAAACCACUCACUUCCCGGAGACCUCACCUUUUGAUAGCAUCACAUUGUAGGUGAGAAUUUCAAUAUUCAAAUUUGAGGGAGACACACACAUUUGGACCAUAGCACACAGCUGGGUCAUAAAGCCAGGGUUCCGAGGCAAGUCUGAGGUCAUCAGCCAAGGGUGUCUGCAUCGGACAACACUCAACUCGGGAUUGGCACCCAGCCAGUGCCCUACACUAUACAAGAUGCCACUGUAGGGACAGGGAUGACCUCUGGCAAGGUGACCCUCAGUGGGCCAGAGGGGGCUUCUGAAGAGAAUUUCUCUAGCUUCUUGGUGUUUCCUGCCUGCUACUUUCAAACAAGGGUCCCAUUUUUAAUGUUUUCCCAGUAAUACCUUAUGAAUGUUAUUGCGAAGCCCGGGUCUGUACUCUACUGGGAUUUGCUGGGCUAGAUUCUCAGAGGAGCUCAACAUUGAUUGAGUUCCGCGCUCCACGUUAAAUCUUUGGAAAAUUAACUAAAGAUCUCCUAGUAAGAUGCUUGUAACUUACUACAUAAGGUGAAAUAGUGACUUUACAGUACAAAAACUACAACCCAAGUAUUACCACCAGCAGCGGGCUAAAUCAACACCGCAGGCCCCGUGAUCAAUAUAUGUGAUGAGGACAUUACAUCCUGGUGUUGUUGCCCCAAGUCUUGACGUGAAUCUGACCACAAGGACAAUUCGGACAACCUGAAAUGGUGACACAUUCUACAAAAUAAACAUCAAUGUCAUGAAAGACAAAGACUCAAGAUUUUCUGCUUAAUGGAGACUAAAGAGAUGCGACAACUGAAUGCCAGGCAUGAUCUUGGAUAUUCUUUUGGCUCAAACAGUCUUAGGACAAUUGAAAAAAUCUGAAUGAGGUCUGUAGCUAAUAGAAUUGUGUCAAUGCCA
Long non-coding RNA from Pan troglodytes (chimpanzee), 3617 nucleotides. RefSeq lists it as uncharacterized. The record is from RefSeq and is a predicted model, not a curated record. The transcript is spliced from 2 exons. Lineage: Eukaryota; Metazoa; Chordata; Mammalia; Primates; Hominidae.